This 841-nucleotide ribosomal RNA is filed under the name Limosilactobacillus mucosae. RNAcentral describes it as "bacterial SSU rRNA". It matches the Rfam family "Bacterial small subunit ribosomal RNA", at positions 590 to 1431 of the family's 1533-position model. The record is from RNAcentral. Lineage: Bacteria; Bacillati; Bacillota; Bacilli; Lactobacillales; Lactobacillaceae.
UGAUGUGAAAGCCUUUGGCUUAACCAAAGAAGUGCAUCGGAAACUGUCAGACUUGAGUGCAGAAGAGGACAGUGGAACUCCAUGUGUAGCGGUGGAAUGCGUAGAUAUAUGGAAGAACACCAGUGGCGAAGGCGGCUGUCUGGUCUGCAACUGACGCUGAGGCUCGAAAGCAUGGGUAGCGAACAGGAUUAGAUACCCUGGUAGUCCAUGCCGUAAACGAUGAGUGCUAGGUGUUGGAGGGUUUCCGCCCUUCAGUGCCGCAGCUAACGCAUUAAGCACUCCGCCUGGGGAGUACGACCGCAAGGUUGAAACUCAAAGGAAUUGACGGGGGCCCGCACAAGCGGUGGAGCAUGUGGUUUAAUUCGAAGCUACGCGAAGAACCUUACCAGGUCUUGACAUCUUGCGCCAACCCUAGAGAUAGGGCGUUUCCUUCGGGAACGCAAUGACAGGUGGUGCAUGGUCGUCGUCAGCUCGUGUCGUGAGAUGUUGGGUUAAGUCCCGCAACGAGCGCAACCCUUGUUACUAGUUGCCAGCAUUCAGUUGGGCACUCUAGUGAGACUGCCGGUGACAAACCGGAGGAAGGUGGGGACGACGUCAGAUCAUCAUGCCCCUUAUGACCUGGGCUACACACGUGCUACAAUGGACGGUACAACGAGUCGCGAACUCGCGAGGGCAAGCUAAUCUCUUAAAACCGUUCUCAGUUCGGACUGCAGGCUGCAACUCGCCUGCACGAAGUCGGAAUCGCUAGUAAUCGCGGAUCAGCAUGCCGCGGUGAAUACGUUCCCGGGCCUUGUACACACCGCCCGUCACACCAUGAGAGUUUGCAACACCCAAAGUCGGU